Molecule: small RNA, 54 nt
Filed under: Arabidopsis thaliana (thale cress)
Lineage: Eukaryota; Viridiplantae; Streptophyta; Magnoliopsida; Brassicales; Brassicaceae
Description: ATSL191980
Source: RNAcentral
AAAACACAAAAAAAAAAAACAGAGGAGAAAAAGAGACGACGACAAACAAGUGAA